UACGAAGGGGGCUAGCGUUGUUCGGAAUUACUGGGCGUAAAGCGUAUGCAGGCGGAUCGUUAAGUCGGGGGUGAAAUCCUGAGGCUCAACCUCGGAACUGCCUUCGAUACUGGCGAUCUUGAGUCCGGGAGAGGUGAGUGGAACUCCGAGUGUAGAGGUGAAAUUCGUAGAUAUUCGGAAGAACACCAGUGGCGAAGGCGGCUCACUGGCCCGGUACUGACGCUGAGAUACGAAAGCGUGGGGAGCAAACAGG
Molecule: ribosomal RNA, 253 nt
Filed under: uncultured bacterium
Lineage: Bacteria
Description: partial 16S ribosomal RNA
Rfam family: Bacterial small subunit ribosomal RNA
Source: RNAcentral